Long non-coding RNA from Thalassophryne amazonica, 165 nucleotides. RefSeq lists it as uncharacterized. The record is from RefSeq and is a predicted model, not a curated record. NCBI's taxonomy places the organism in Eukaryota, Metazoa, Chordata, Actinopteri, Batrachoidiformes, Batrachoididae. The transcript is spliced from 3 exons.
GAGACUAGCACUGAGCAUAUUAUUAUUACCUUCUUUAGAUUAACAUUUCAGAAAUGGUACUUAGUUUUCAACAUAACAAUGCUCAAUUUCAUCAGUUUUUGUCGAGCGUAGAUGUAUUUUUAUACCAUAUCUCAAAAACUGUAAUAGCUACAGCUAUUUUUUAGG